CUAACAAUUACAGCUUCUUUAACAGGAUAAUGAAACACACCACAAUGUACAGAAAGCUUGCACUGCCUGAGAAAUGUAAGCACUAGUGGGAAGCAGAAAGAUCAGUUUUCUAAAUCCAAAGAAUUUGCUCUCAGAUCUGAGUUCAACCAACUUUGAGAGGUCUGUGUUGGAAAGGAUGCCAAGAAUUUAAAUUCAGAGCUGUGUUGAAACAGAGGCUAGAAGAGUGGAGAAGACCCUAUCGGCAAUGAUGUCUCCAGGAGCAGUUGUAAUAUCAACAGCAAAAACUUCCACGCACAGAGCUGGAGGCUGUGAUGGCUAGUGUGAAGCAGUUGGAAUCGUCUUUCCUCAAGGGCAUGGCAGUGGAGAAGGCACAAGAAGAAUGCCUUUUAGUAUGGCACAAGAACUAAAUCUUAACCAUCAAUGGUCUAGAAAGACUUAAGAUCAGGAGCAUUUUUAUGGUGGAUAUGCAAUCCUUAGAAAGACACAUCUCUAGAGACA
This 498-nucleotide long non-coding RNA is filed under the name Fukomys damarensis (Damara mole-rat). Its description in RNAcentral is "lncRNA (ENSFDAG00000024076.1)". The record is from RNAcentral. Lineage: Eukaryota; Metazoa; Chordata; Mammalia; Rodentia; Bathyergidae.